This 468-nucleotide ribosomal RNA is filed under the name uncultured bacterium. Its description in RNAcentral is "partial 16S ribosomal RNA". It matches the Rfam family "Bacterial small subunit ribosomal RNA", at positions 28 to 507 of the family's 1533-position model. The record is from RNAcentral.
GACGAACGCUGGCGGCGUGCUUAACACAUGCAAGUCGAACGGAAAGGCCCUGCUUGUGUGGGGUGCUCGAGUGGCGAACGGGUGAGUAACACGUGAGUAACCUGCCCUGGACUUUGGGAUAACUUCAGGAAACUGGGGCUAAUACCGGAUAGGAGCGCCUGCUGCAUGGUGGGGGUUGGAAAGUUUCGGCGGUUGGGGAUGGACUCCGGGCUUAUCAGCUUGUUGGUGGGGUAGUGGCUUACCAAGGCUUUGACGGGUAGCCGGCCUGAGAGGGUGACCGGCCACAUUGGGACUGAGAUACGGCCCAGACUCCUACGGGAGGCAGCAGUGGGGAAUAUUGCACAAUGGGCGGAAGCCUGAUGCAGCAACGCCGCGUGCGGGAUGACGGCCUUCGGGUUGUAAACCGCUUUCGCCUGUGACGAAGCGUGAGUGACGGUAAUGGGUAAAGAAGCACCGGCUAACUACGUG